RNAcentral lists this ribosomal RNA (913 nucleotides) under uncultured bacterium. RNAcentral's name for it is "bacterial SSU rRNA". It matches the Rfam family "Bacterial small subunit ribosomal RNA", at positions 8 to 896 of the family's 1533-position model. The record is from RNAcentral.
AGAGUUUGAUCAUGGCUCAGAACGAACGCUGGCGGCGUGCUUAACACAUGCAAGUCUAACGAGAAAGUUUCCUUCGGGGAAUGAGUAAAGUGGCGCACGGGUGAGUAACACGUGGGUAACCUACCCUUCAGUUUGGGAUAACACUUCGAAAGGGGUGCUAAUACCGGAUACGUUCACUUAAGCUUCGGCUUUUUUGGAGAAAGAUGGCCUCUAUACUAUGCUGUCACUGAUGGAUGGGCCCGCGGACCAUUAGCUAGUUGGUAGGGUAAUGGCCUACCAAGGCUCCGAUGGUUAGCUGGUCUGAGAGGAUGAUCAGCCACACUGGUACUGGAACACGGACCAGACUCCUACGGGAGGCAGCAGUGGGGAAUAUUGCGCAAUGGGGGAAACCCUGACGCAGCAACGCCGCGUGAGUGAUGAAGGCCUUUGGGUCGUAAAGCUCUGUCAGAGGGGAAGAAGGUGUCAAAGUUAAUAGCUAUGAUUACUUGACGGUACCCUCAAAGGAAGCACCGGCUAACUCCGUGCCAGCAGCCGCGGUAAUACGGGGGGUGCAAGCGUUGUUCGGAAUUACUGGGCGUAAAGGGCGCGUAGGCGGCUAUUUAAGUCAGAUGUGAAAGCCCAGGGCUCAACCCUGGAACUGCAUUUGAAACUGGAUGGCUUGAGUACGGGAGAGGGAAGUGGAAUUCCAAGUGUAGAGGUGAAAUUCGUAGAUAUUUGGAGGAACACCAGUGGCGAAGGCGGCUUUCUGGUCUAUCUCUGACGCUGAGGAGCGAAAGCUAGGGGAGCAAACGGGAUUAGAUACCCCGGUAGUCCUAGCUGUAAACGAUGGAUACUAGGUGUGGGGAGGUAUCGACCCUUCUGUGCCGUAGCUAACGCAUUAAGUAUCCCGCCUGGGAGUACGGUCGCAAGGCUG